ACCUGCCCUUAACUCUGGGAUAAGCCUGGGAAACUGGGUCUAAUACUGGAUAUUGACUUUGCCUCGCAUGGGGUUUUGUUGAAAGAUUUAUUGGUUUUGGAUGGACUCGCGGCCUAUCAGCUUGUUGGUGAGGUAAUGGCUUACCAAGGCGACGACGGGUAGCCGGCCUGAGAGGGUGACCGGCCAACACUGGGACUGAGACACGGCCCAGACUCCUACGGGAGGCAGCAGUGGGGAAUAUUGCACAAUGGGCGAAAGCCUGAUGCAGCGACGCCGCGUGAGGGAUGACGGCCUUCGGGUUGUAAACCUCUUUCAGUAGGGAACAAGGCCAUCACUUGUGGUGGUUGAGGGUACUUGCAGAAGAAGCGCCGGCUAACUACGUGCCAGCAGCCGCGGUAAUACGUAGGGCGCAAGCGUUAUCCGGAAUUAUUGGGCGUAAAGAGCUCGUAGGCGGUUUGUCGCGUCUGCCGUGAAAGUCCGGGGCUCAACUCCGGAUCUGCGGUGGGUACGGGCAGACUAGAGUGAUGUAGGGGAGACUGGAAUUCCUGGUGUAGCGGUGAAAUGCGCAGAUAUCAGGAGGAACACCGAUGGCGAAGGCAGGUCUCUGGGCAUUAACUGACGCUGAGGAGCGAAAGCAUGGGGAGCGAACAGGAUUAGAUACCCUGGUAGUCCAUGCCGUAAACGUUGGGCACUAGGUGUGGGGGACAUUCCACGUUUUCCGCGCCGUAGCUAACGCAUUAAGUGCCCCGCCUGGGGAGUACGGCCGCAAGGCUAAAACUCAAAGGAAUUGACGGGGGCCCGCACAAGCGGCGGAGCAUGCGGAUUAAUUCGAUGCAACGCGAAGAACCUUACCAAGGCUUGACAUGAACUGGAAACACUUGGAAACAAGUGCCCCGCUUGCGGUCGGUUUACAGGUGGUGCAUGGUUGUCGUCAGCUCGUGUCGUGAGAUGUUGGGUUAAGUCCCGCAACGAGCGCAACCCUCGUUCUAUGUUGCCAGCACGUUAUGGUGGGGACUCAUAGGAGACUGCCGGGGUCAACUCGGAGGAAGGUGAGGACGACGUCAAAUCAUCAUGCCCCUUAUGUCUUGGGCUUCACGCAUGCUACAAUGGCCGGUACAAUGGGUUGCGAUACUGUGAGGUGGAGCUAAUCCCAAAAAGCCGGUCUCAGUUCGGAUUGGGGUCUGCAACUCGACCCCAUGAAGUCGGAGUCGCUAGUAAUCGCAGAUCAGCAACGCUGCGGUGAAUACGUUCCCGGGACAC
RNAcentral lists this ribosomal RNA (1260 nucleotides) under Arthrobacter sp. 319. RNAcentral describes it as "bacterial SSU rRNA". It matches the Rfam family "Bacterial small subunit ribosomal RNA", at positions 124 to 1382 of the family's 1533-position model. Lineage: Bacteria; Bacillati; Actinomycetota; Actinomycetes; Micrococcales; Micrococcaceae. The record is from RNAcentral.